UGUUAACAGGAUCACUAUUAUGACUCAAGUUCUCAUUACAUUUGUAGUCUUGUCUCUGUGGCUUCAAGGUCAGUGCCAGGAUGUGAGCCAACACCCUGAAAUCAGUUGGAGUUAUGUUUCCCAAUCUGCAGAGAUGAACUGCAGCCACAACAAAGAUAUUUCUCAUAACCAGAUGUACUGGUACAGACAGCGUCCAGGGGAGACCAUGACCCUCGUUGUCUACACAGCUGUUGGUGGACAGCCAGACUACGGGGGGGCUCCUCAAACCAAAUAUUCAGCCAUCAAAGAAAUCACUGAGAGCGGGGCUCUUACUGUGAAAGACUUGCAGCUUGAGGACAGCGCUGUGUACUUCUGUGCCGUCAGUAAACACAGUGAUGUGACAAGUAUGAGCAGCUGAACAAUAACUGGUUGCCAACACAUUUGGUGAGCGGAUUAGGAACCAAAUGUUUGCUUUGAUAUCGUUCCAGCA
This is a non-coding RNA of Perca flavescens (yellow perch), 469 nucleotides long. Lineage: Eukaryota; Metazoa; Chordata; Actinopteri; Perciformes; Percidae. The record is from the annotation of a RefSeq genome assembly.